AUCAGAAUGAACUAACUCAAAAGGAGAUGAAGCCCGUUUAUUGACUCGAGACACGUUAGGCAAACAAUGAUGUUUAGCAAACUGACAGGACUCACAAUCUAAAACUGACAAAGACUGAAAUUGUGGACAUAACUUCUUUAAGACAGAUAUCCCAACCGACAAUAGACUUCAAUAGGAGUUAAAAUACUGGAACACACAAGAGAUUUUGGCACCUGUUUGUCAAGGACGUAGAGGCCUCCAGACUCAUACCCUCUACCAAUAAUUUGCUUCGUCGUAAGAUCCUGACUCAGUUAUUGCAGUGACUGGUGAACUAGAAGACUUUAGAGAGGCAUAAUACUGUGAGAACUGUGCAUAUUCUUCAGCAGAUACUAAAACUGCUUUCUCAGAAUGAGCUACUGAAGAGUCAUCAACUACCAUAUUGGCCAUCCGAGAUCGUGGGUUCUUAUUCUGAAGUUUCGGACAAUACCUUUUUGUAGGACCUGGCUCAUAGCAAUAGUAACAUUCAAUUCCUCCAGAGUCACGAUUAGGGGCAACCUCCUCACUAUGCUGGUUACUCAUAUUGCCACUAUACCCUCUUUUACUGCCUCCUUUAUGACUUUGCCUGCCACUGUCAGCACGACUAAUAAGAGCACUAUUAACAGAUUGGGAUAAUUGGGGAGCUUCAGUAUGAAGUACUCUUGAGAAAGUAUCAUAUAGAAAUGAAAUUUUAGAACCAGAAAGAAUUUGAGAUUUGGCCGUCUCAAACUCUGGAGGAAGACCUGCAAGAAAACUCAUCACAACCAUUUGCUUCCUUUGAGCCUGUUGGACUUUCAUAUCAUGAUUAAAUGACAUCAAUACAUUGAGUUUCUCAUAAACUCGCUUAAAAUUCAUAAAACAAGCCGUAAGAGACCUAUUUUCAUUUUCUACUCUAUAGAAUGCCUUGCACACUUCAUAAGUACAAGAAAUACUUCCUUUUCCCGAGUACAAAAAUUCUAAACAAUCCAUCAUGUCUUUAGUAAGCUCACAGUGAUUCAUUAAACUAAUUACUUCACUACUAAUGGAAUUUCGAAUCUGUAGAAACAAUUGAGCAUCUUCUCUCAUCCAAGUCUGCUUUGUAUCAUCAUUAAGAGGAUCUUUUGUAAGGUGAUCAUCCUUAUCAAUACUU
RNAcentral lists this unclassified non-coding RNA (1144 nucleotides) under Hevea brasiliensis (rubber tree). The record is from RNAcentral. Lineage: Eukaryota; Viridiplantae; Streptophyta; Magnoliopsida; Malpighiales; Euphorbiaceae.